AACUCAUACAUUAUACACAUAAGUCACUACCAAAUUACAAAUGAUCGCUUCAAAUGCAGCACCAUGGGUUGCAUGAGAUUUGUCCUUGAGAUGGAGGAGGUAGAAGUCGAUGAUGCCAUUCUCGCUCUGGUAAAGGCAGGAAAUAAUCCUAAGCAGCUGUUAAAAUAGUACACCAAUGAGUUUCUAGCUGGUCUAGAAUAAGGAAAUAGGAAAUGAUCAUUAUAUGCACAGUACAAUACAUAUUAUGGAGGAAAGGAAACAAUUGUGACUCAAGAAUGUGCAUCACACUUCUCACUGAAACAAUUGUUGGAAGGCCUAUUUUUGUAUUUUUGAAACAAGUAAAAAGAGUUUACAAUUGUCAAAAGGCCUAUUUUAUAUUCAAAGAUAUACAAUUCUAAUGCAAUAUCUAUUUUCUAUUUGAUGUUAUGUAGGAAGAUCACACAGCAGAAUAAAAGUAGUUCUUUUUUUUCAAAUUCACAAACCUCACAGAAGGCACAUUCACAAAUAUGACUACACUUACUCUCAACUAAAUCAAUUCAUUAGUAUUUAACACUCCUAACAAACUUUCACAAUUUCCAGCAUUUAGAGGAAAUGUAAGUGACGUAGAUCACUACGAACAAAUAGGCAAUACAGAUAAACUCAAUAUAAACUAUUUGAAACUACCACACAGAACUAGCAGUAUAAACACUUUACUGUGGCAAAACACAACUCACGUCUAGCAUGGUAAUUUCGGUUCUUAUCCAGUUCUACGAUUCUACUUAAGUCGUAUCUACAAGCCAUGGAGAAGUAAAAAAAGCCAAUAACCUGCAAGUUACCACAGUACCAUGCCGAAAUUCUAAGUAAUAUCCUAGGCAAAUAGUGCAGUAGCAUGAGUAUUGAGUAUAAAACCACUGAACCUAAAUAGGUACAGUUUUAAACAUUAGCAUACCAUGAACAAGAGGAAGCAACCAUAGUACAGAAUGUGAUCGGAGAGCAGCCUAUGAGCUAACUCAAGUUAACAUAUGGUUCCUAUUACAUUCUACCUAGAACAAGAUAAACCAGAGCACGAGGGGGGGGGGGGCGAUGGAAGACCAAGGACUUACCGGAGCCAGAGAUGAAGUAGAAGUGGACAUCUGUUGUCGUGCCUGCGGUCACCACAUGCGGUGUCGGUGUUGUCCUCCUUGAGGAGACGUGCGCUAUGGAUGGGG
RNAcentral lists this long non-coding RNA (1187 nucleotides) under Triticum aestivum (bread wheat). RNAcentral describes it as "long non-coding RNA (TAES_LNC017194)". The record is from RNAcentral. Lineage: Eukaryota; Viridiplantae; Streptophyta; Magnoliopsida; Poales; Poaceae.